UGAAUCAACACAGUCCCUACAAAAGGUGGUUUUAGGUUAAAAACUAUUAGGUACCUGUUAAUGAAAGCCUCGCUAUUCAGGAAAACCCACAAAAUAGAAAGUAGCAGAUACCAUACUUUAUAAUAAUUCUCUCACACACAUUCUAGAAUUCACUGGAAAUCAAGGUCAUUAAUCUAAAUAUAACUUUCUAUUCACAUUUACCAGAUAAGAAAAAUGAGAGUACUGUACUGUAACUAGCUUCUCGUUACAGUUAAAACUUACACACUAGUGUGAAAUCCAAGUGAUUUUCAGAUUUAAGGUUAAAAUAUACGAAAUAGAAAAAAUUAAGUCAGCUAUGCUCCCAGCUCUGCUCCUUCAGACUUAAAGGGCAAUUAUAGUCACUAAAAAAAACUACAGCUUGAUGUAGUGGUUCUGGUAUCUAUAACCUAACCCUGGAGACUGUGCAAUGAAAAUGCUACCUUUUCAGAGAAUAGGCAGUGUUUACAUUGGUGCCUAGUAACACCUCUAGUGGCUGACACUCAGACAGCCACUAGAGAUGCUGCACUGAACUCCCUUCUGUGGGAACAGGUAAAAUGUAUGAUGCAUGUUUGUUUUUCUAACAUUCUAGUAGUGUUCAGUAGUGUACUAAGUGGUGGUCCACCCCGGGUGCCGCACAUAAGGAGGGUGCCAUCAGAGCCGGACUGGCCCACUAUACAUUGGGGCUGGAAGUGAUCUCCUCUUGCCAGUCACUGAAAGUAGAGUGGCCCUAGCAGGCAGACCGAGGUAGAAGAGCUUCUGUUCCUCUCCUCGGUCUGACUGGAAGUUCUCUUAGAGAGCACAGAUUUCUUCCUGUCAGAAUGGGGAGAGAUUACAUGAGCUCCUCUACUGCUACACAAGAGGUACAGGAGAGGCUGGGGACAGGGGAAAUGGGACACAUGGAGAGGCUGGGGAAGAAGGAGGGUAGAAAUGGGACACAUGGAGAGGCUGGGGAAGAAGGAGGGGGGGUAGAAAUGGGACACAUGAAGAGGCUAGAGGGGAUGGAACACAUGAAGGGCUCAGGGGGGGAAUGGAACACAUGGAGAGGUUAUUGAGGGGGCUGAAUGGGACACAUGGUGAGGCUGUGAAGAGGGGUAAAUGAGGGGCUAGGGGGUGAAUGAGACACAUGGUGGGGCUUGGGGUUAAUAAGAUACAUGGAAGGGCUAGAGGGUUAAUGAGACACAUGCAUGGGCUAGAGGACAAACCGACACACACAGAAGGGCUGGAGGACAAAGAGACACAGAGAGGAGCACAAAGACACACAGAGGGACUGAGGGGCACACCGGCACAAAGAGGGGACUGGGGGGAGGGGAGGCACACAGAAGGGUGGGGGCGCCAAAGAGGCACAAGAAAAAAAAACACUGCUGGACUUUAAUUUUUGGACUUGUAACUGCAACCGCAAACCAUUUUAUAUCCUCACUCCUUGUCAAUCCCACAAGCCCUUCAAAUGCAUUAAACACAUUUGUUUCUUGUGCUUUGUGUCGAUCCAUAAGCUGAAACGUUCUCUUAUCCUCUGAUUAUUUUUAAUUUAGUGAAUAAGCCCUAUAGUGUUAAUUAAUACAUAAACAUUUUCUUUUACAAGUGAUACAUUUAACACUCUCUGUUGACGUAAACACUUUAAUUCAGUGUUCCAUAUUUCAUUGUGAUUUACCACUGCAUUUUAAAUGUCACAGGAAGUGCAAGAUAAACUCCACAACAGAACACAUCUGACCUUGAAGCACAACAUACUAUUAGGAGAAAAACACUUGAUUCAGAAUGAGUCAGAAAAGAACCUUUAACCCCUUAAGGACCAAACUUCUGGAAUAAAAUGGAAUCCUGAAAUGUCACACAUGUCAUGUGUCCUUAAGGGGUUAAACAAUAUUAUUAUGUCAAUGAAACUCCUACACAUACACUAUAUUCCAUCAAAUACCUAUUGGUUGAAUUUUGUAAGCUUUUUUAAUAACAUACUCACGUGACAGACAUCUUUAACACAGGGCUGGGGCAGGCAACCUUCGACAUGUCAGAUGUGUUGGACUACAUCUCCCCUGAUGCUUUAGAAGUAUUAUCAUUGUAAUAGCAUUAUGGGAGAUGUAGUCCUCAACAUCUGGAGUGCCAAAGGUGGCCUACCCCUGAUGUAGGACAUCUUGGUGGCCCAAUGACCAUUAACUCAGACAUUCACUGAGAUGGUCAUCUUUGCCACGGAUGAGCCUUUAUUUACUGUCCAUCAUUCCAUCAGUACCUUCCUCCCUCAUUCCUUCUAUUAAUUGCUUCACCCAAGUGAUCACUUUAAACUAUAUUUAAACAGAGCAAACUUUGUCUCUCCUUUUAUAACCCUCAAAGAUAGCCCCCAAUGUAAAUGAGCUCUCCUCUUUUUUUUUCCAAACUCACAGUUAAUACUCAAUUUAGUUUCCACUGAACCACCCUAUAUAUAACUUCACAUCUCCCAUUUUCAUAUAUGUAAAGUCCACCUACAGUUUAUUUCUCAAACUCCAAAAAUUUGUUUUUCUUCAUUGAACGUUCCCAUAGAGAUGUGUUCUCUGUGAAGAGAUGUUGAUUGGCUAGGGCAGAGUUUUGCACUACAUGUGCAAUAGCCUCUUAAUGCUCUCCUAUGGGUAACCAAGAUUGAUGAUCUCAGCCACGGAAGCGGGGUCAGCCACUGCGAAUGCAGUGCAGCGAUGGAGAAAAUAUAAGUAAAAUGCCAUUUUACUCCAUUCUGGAAGGACGAACACAUAAAUAGGUAGUCCAACACUAUUGUGUUCCUUUCAUCUAUAACCUGCAUGUGAUUUUGCAAGCCCAUCACGCAAGUUAACAUUUUCCACUUAGUAAAAAAGGCUAUCUUACUAUACUCAUAUGUGUGAUAGUCCAGGAUACAGUGGGACUGUGCUGGUUUUGGGCACUUGACCCACCAUUUUUCAAUCGCGUUAUUUUGUCAGCUUUGCCCUUAUCCAGACCAGACUUCCCAUUUUUCGCAACGUUAUGAUUCAAGUAAUAAUCCUACAGCUGGGACGUGUGCACUGGCCUCCAUUUUGAACAUAAAGUUAGGCACUGGCCUCCAUUUUGAAUAAAGAGUUAGUCACUGGACUCCAUUUUGAAUAUAAAGUUAGUCAAUGAAGUCCACUUUGAAUAUAAAGUUAGACACUGCGACAGUGCAAUACCCACAGGCUUAGCUACUCAGUAUAUACAGUAUAAGUGUGCUUUCGUUUGUCUGCAUAACCCUUGUGAGUGACAAUUCAGUGAGCAAAUUAAGGUUCCACUAUUUAUCCCUGCUUUGUGGAGAUUGUUGAGUAUCAGGACUGGCAUUCUCACAGGAAGAUAAAGAUGGUGCCAUCUUUAUGUGUCUAUAACACCACUAAUGAACUGAAAUGGAAACCACCGUGUAGAUUAGCAGUCCUUUGCUAAAGUAUUUACUCUGUUCCAGGCCCUGCACGUACUCUGCUUCGGAAACUGUAGGAUGAUUUAACAGACUCCCUUACCAACAAGUUUGAAGAGUGAAAAUUUUGCUAAAAGAUACAUUUAUUGCCAGAUUCAGUCCAAGCAGUUUGACAGAGAAUGACUGGCUUUUCAUCACCUGGUACAAACAGCCAGAGAGCAAGAUACAGCAUAUAGACCAAGAUUGACCAAGAAAACUGAAUGAUGGAGAAGAGAAGGAUGUAACAGAAAGGAUAUUGAGCGAUUGCGAAGAGCUAUCGAAGAAAGGUAAUGAUAUCACAAAAAAACACACAUGUAGUGUUUUCUGUAGCAUAGGCAAGGCUAUAGCUUACCACUACUGUUUCGCGAACACCUUGCUGGUUUAAAGGAAUGCGAAGGACUCUUACUGAAACAGUUAACAUAGUUUACUUUUGGAUGUUUUUAUAUGUAUAAUAUUCAUAUUCUGAAAUAUAUGCUGAUUUCCAUGAUUCUAUUGAUGAGGUUUUUUAGGGAUGAUUGAAUAUUUUUAAAUUGACAUUUGAUCAGGCAAACAAAUAUGCCACAGAAUAUGUGAUCUGAGCAAACAGUGUUUCUCUGAAUUGUUAUUGAAUGGUUUUAUUGUUAAAGUUGGCUAUUGUUGAAUGUGGUCAAUACCUGUAAUUGAAGUUGAAUGUCAAUGUGUGUUGUAUAUUUAUGGUGUAACUUAGUAACCCAUUACCAACACAAUGUUUUGUAACGUUUCAUGAAAUCGAAUGGAAUUUACAAGCAUUGUUGAUUUUCCUCAACAAUAGGUGUAAGCGUUAAAUAUACGUUUAAAUAUGUGUUUGCACAGUAUAAAGAUCUCCAGGUGACUAUGAGCUUAUUCCUUGAGGUUUUCUUGUUUAGCAACAAGGAAAAGUAUCUUCACGUUUUCUUUAUUAAAAAUCAUACUGUAAACUCAUGACAAAUCAUUUCAGAAUAAGUUGGUGAUUUGAUAAGAAAUUACCUUUUCAGUGAAAAGGUACAAAAUGCUACUAGGAGAAUAUUUAAUAUAUGCAUGGACUUUGCUAGCCAAAAGGAAGAUCCCCACCUGUUAUACCACAUUUCCUGUUAUACAUUGCAAGCUUUUAAUAAUGGACAAUUGUUAUAGGGGUAAUCGUUCUUCAACAGCUGAAUAUCUACUUUUUGGAUGACCCUGAAUUAGAUGAUUCCCCAUUUCCUCAACUACAUAUAAGCUCUGAAUGUACAAGCCACUAAGAGGAAGAGCUCUAAUUUAAUUUACUAAAAAAAAAAAGGAUGACUGACUUUUUUUUAUAACUUCUUCCAUUUCUAAAAAUCUUCUCAGCGGUAUUUCUUAGGUCAUAAACCUAUAGAAAAUAUAAAUAAUACAUUUGGCAUUUGGACACUGAGAAGGUUGUGAGGUAUGCAGUCAUUAAUUAAUUUAUAUUCUCUAGAUGUAAAUCUGUGGGGAAUGUUUUGAAAAUCACAAACACUUGUAUAAGAAAAGAGCUGGCUUAGUUUACAAUUUAGGGUGAAAUAUAAAGCUGAUUUUCUGCUAAUGUACAGACUCAUAAACAGCUAGAUAUAAAUAUGACAUUAUAGGAUUUGUAGUUGAGCUUAUUCCCGUUAAGAGGAAUAACAAGGUUGGACGUGGAGAGUUCUAUAUAUUUUACUCAUCUGAAAUAUGUAUAUUCGCACUGACAGCAACAAUGUUAAAAGCCAUUUACUGCUGUGAAUGCCAAGCAAUACUUGGCAACGAACAAUAGCUUAACGACCAUAUUUGGGAUGUUCUAGCUUCCAGAAUAUAUCUUACUAUAUAUAUGUGUGUGUCAUUGAAUUACAAUAUUAUUAUUAAUGGGUAUUAAUUUACAAUCUUCCUAGAAAAAGUAUUAAAAAAAAAUUGUAUUAUUAUUUAUAAAGCACCAAGAAAUUUCGCAACACUGUUUGGUAGGUGGACUAACAGACAAGUAGUUGCAACAAGACGAGUUGGUUGCACAGGAAUAGCAAGUGUCAAAGAGGAGAUUUAUGUUGGUUGGGUGUUAAUACGGUUCAGAGUUUGUAACGGUUAGGGCAUUGAAUGAGGCGGAAAGCUUCUAGAUCAGGGGUGGGCAAAUUAUAGAUCCACCGAUGAUGUAGAACUGCAGUGUCCAUGAUGCUGUGACAUUCUAAAGGAUGACAAAGAAUCAAGACACAUAUAGCUCUAAAACAUCUGGAGAGCUACCUUUUGUCCAGCCCAUUUCUAGAUCGUUGCUUUAUUUUUUCUUCCUUCUUAUUUCAGGCAUACUAAACUUUAAUGUAGAUUGCUGUAUGUUUUUUGCUGCAUGCAAUAAGAACAGUUAUAUUCUGCCUUGCUUAUACAAAAGCUCAGGGCAUUAUUCACUAAUUUAGAAACUGUGGAAAAUUCACAAGUGAGUAAUUAUUUUUGGUUUGUGUACACUAGUUUGUCAACUCCUAAUACAUAGACAGAUAAAAGAAUGCUAGCUCUAGUGGUACUGACUGGCAAUUGCGCUCACUUUCCACAGUGUAUAAAACACAUUAUCCACAUUAAGACGAUUAAAAUACUCAUCUCCUCAACUCCUAUGUAUACAGUUUUAAAGUGGUCUCAAUUGUUUGUAUCGCACAAAGGUACUGUUAACGAUGAUCUCCCCUUAAUGAUGAUCAUCAUUACACACUAUACACUGUUACACACUAUACAAGAGCCUAUAAGACUCAAUAAUACAGUGCCACCUUUUAGCAACCUUGAUUUUAGUGUGUACCCACAUUUCAAUCAUAUAAGCAGAAUUAGAUGUGUUAUAUGUAUCCAACUCAUUAAAUUAAAUGUCUAGGAAGUGAUUAAAUACAAGACCUACACGAUGGUAGAUUUUCUAGUAAGUAUACAAUAAGUACUUAUCUUUAAUAUUUGUGUUUCCCGGAUAAGCUAGAGAAAAAACUUGAGUUUAGAGUGGAGUGUACUUUCCUACAUCAGAUUACCAAAAGCCCGGACCAGUUGUUGUGUAGCCUGUUUAAUAAAAAUCACGGAAGUGCCAGUAACAUUCAUAGCAUACUGAAGCAGCACAGAAGGUUACAGAAAGCAUUGCAAUAAUUGAAAAACACACCUGUUAAACGUCAUUGACACCUAAUAUAAAAUCACUUCUAAAGCCGGCUUGCGUAAAAUAAGCAUCGCAUUUGCAGGAUUUCCAUUUCAGCAAUACAGGUCACAAAGGACUUUGAGCGUUUUGUUAAGGAACCUUUGAAGAACAUAUGAAAAUAAAUUAAAAACCUUGAUAGGUGCCAUAAAUAAUAUUGAAUCUAGGGAAAAAGUGCUAUAAAUACAAUAGAGAUUAAAUAAACAAAACAUUUUAUUUUACAUCAAAAUGCUUUUCAGCUUUGUUAUGUAACAGGUUUAUGGUUUCAGAAUGUUCCCAAACUGUCCGAAUGUCCCCAUUCACAUAAUGUUUGGUGUCACAGGUGCCCUUGGACUACUCUUGCC
RNAcentral lists this long non-coding RNA (6850 nucleotides) under Pelobates cultripes (western spadefoot toad). The record is from RNAcentral. Lineage: Eukaryota; Metazoa; Chordata; Amphibia; Anura; Pelobatidae.